Molecule: transfer RNA, 73 nt
Filed under: Dipodomys ordii (Ord's kangaroo rat)
Lineage: Eukaryota; Metazoa; Chordata; Mammalia; Rodentia; Heteromyidae
Rfam family: tRNA
About the family: Transfer RNA (tRNA) molecules are approximately 80 nucleotides in length. Their secondary structure includes four short double-helical elements and three loops (D, anti-codon, and T loops). Further hydrogen bonds mediate the characteristic L-shaped molecular structure. tRNAs have two regions of fundamental functional importance: the anti-codon, which is responsible for specific mRNA codon recognition, and the 3' end, to which the tRNAs corresponding amino acid is attached (by aminoacyl-tRNA synthetases). tRNAs cope with the degeneracy of the genetic code in two manners: having more than one tRNA (with a specific anti-codon) for a particular amino acid; and 'wobble' base-pairing, i.e. permitting non-standard base-pairing at the 3rd anti-codon position.
Source: Rfam by way of RNAcentral
GGGGAUGUGACUCAAAUGACAGAGUGCCUAUCUAGAAAGCAGGAGGAACUUGGUUCAAACCCUAGUGCCACCA